Molecule: ribosomal RNA, 253 nt
Filed under: uncultured bacterium
Lineage: Bacteria
Description: partial 16S ribosomal RNA
Rfam family: Bacterial small subunit ribosomal RNA
Source: RNAcentral
UACGAAGGGGGCUAGCGUUGCUCGGAAUUACUGGGCGUAAAGGGCGCGUAGGCGGCUCUGUUAGUCAGGCGUGAAAUUCCUGGGCUCAACCUGGGGACUGCGCUUGAUACGGCGGGGCUUGAGGAUGGAAGAGGGUCGCGGAAUUCCCAGUGUAGAGGUGAAAUUCGUAGAUAUUGGGAAGACCACCGGUGGCGAAGGCGGCGACCUGGUCCAUUACUGACGCUGAGGCGCGACAGCGUGGGGAGCAAACAGG